This 253-nucleotide ribosomal RNA is filed under the name uncultured bacterium. RNAcentral describes it as "partial 16S ribosomal RNA". It matches the Rfam family "Bacterial small subunit ribosomal RNA", at positions 524 to 776 of the family's 1533-position model. The record is from RNAcentral.
GACAGAGGGGGCAAGCGUUGUCCGGAUUUACUGGGCGUACAGCGCGCGCAGGCGGCUACGUAUGUGACUGGUGACAGCCUCCCGCUCAACGGGAGAAGGCCCGGUUACACAGCGUAGCUGGAGGCAGGGAGAGGGAUGUGGAAUACCCGGUGGAGCGGUGAAAUGCGUAGAGAUCGGGUGGAACACCAGUGGCGAAGGCGGCAUCCUGGCCCUGACCUGACGCUGAGGCGCGAGAGCGUGGGGAGCAAACGGG